UGGGGGAAUUUUGCGCAAUGGGCGAAAGCCUGACGCAGUAACGCCGCGUGGAGGAUGAAGGCCCUCGGGUUGUAAACUCCUGUCAGAGGGAAAGAAGAGAGCUAAUGCUAAUAGCGUUAGUCAUCAGACGGUACCCUCAAAGGAAGCCCCGGCUAAUUCCGUGCCAGCAGCCGCGGUAAUACGGAAGGGGCAAGCGUUGUUCGGAAUCAUUGGGCGUAAAGGGCGCGUAGGCGGUCGCGUAUGUCUGCUGUGAAAGCACAUAGCUUAACUGUGUGAAGUCGGUAGAAACUGCGAGACUUGAGGCUGGGAGAGGUUGGUGGAAUUCCCUGUGUAGCGGUGAAAUGCGUAGAUAUAGGGGAGAACACUCGUGGCGAAGGCGGCCAGCUGGACCAGCCCUGACGCUGAGGCGCGACAGCGUGGGGAGCGAAACAGGAUUAGAUACCCUGGUAGUCCACGCCGUAAACGAUGGGCACUAGGUGUUGGCGGU
This 487-nucleotide ribosomal RNA is filed under the name uncultured bacterium. Its description in RNAcentral is "bacterial SSU rRNA". It matches the Rfam family "Bacterial small subunit ribosomal RNA", at positions 354 to 830 of the family's 1533-position model. The record is from RNAcentral.